GUUGGAACACGUGUUCCCGUACGAUCACAGAAGUUAAGCAUCGUCGAACUUGGUCAGUACCUCGAGGGGUGACCACCUGAGAAUACCAGUUA
Non-coding RNA from Acanthosepion pharaonis, 92 nucleotides. The record is from the annotation of a GenBank genome assembly. NCBI's taxonomy places the organism in Eukaryota, Metazoa, Mollusca, Cephalopoda, Sepiida, Sepiidae.